Molecule: ribosomal RNA, 497 nt
Filed under: uncultured bacterium
Lineage: Bacteria
Description: partial 16S ribosomal RNA
Rfam family: Bacterial small subunit ribosomal RNA
Source: RNAcentral
GAUGAACGCUGGCGGCGUGCCUAAUACAUGCCAGUCGAGCGAACAGACGAGGAGCUUGCUCCUCUGACGUUAGCGGCGGACGGGUGAGUAACACGUGGAUAACCUACCUAUAAGACUGGGAUAACUUCGGGAAACCGGAGCUAAUACCGGAUAAUAUAUUGAACCGCAUGGUUCAAUAGUGAAAGACGGUUUUGCUGUCACUUAUAGAUGGAUCCGCGCCGCAUUAGCUAGUUGGUAAGGUAACGGCUUACCAAGGCAACGAUGCGUAGCCGACCUGAGAGGGUGGUCGGCCACACUGGAACUGAGACACGGUCCAGACUCCUACGGGAGGCAGCAGUAGGGAAUCUUCCGCAAUGGGCGAGAGCCUGACGUAGCAACGCCGCGUGAGUGAUGAAGGUCUUCGGAUCGUAAAACUCUGUUAUUAGGGAAGAACAAAUGUGUAAGUAACUAUGCACGUCUUGACGGUACCUAAUCAGAAAGCCACGGCUAACUACGUG